GGAUUUCUCUCCUUAUGAAAGGAAGGAAUAGAAAUUGAUGGGAUCACACCUGCACUGCUACUCCAUCAGAAACAAUCAGAUUGUAAAUUAUAUUAUUGCUAUUAUCUCCAAAGAGUGGCUGAAAUAACUCCUGGGAAUACCUGAAUGCUGGAGGGAGAAAUAGAUGGAGGAUGAUUAUUUCAGAAACUGGAAUCCAAACAAGCCCUUUGAUCAAGGGAUCUUGAAUCUUGGACAUGCUUCCAGCCUUGGUCUGACCCCUGCUUUGGUGAUCCUGGUGUUGCAGAUUGCUUCCCAGCUCUGGUCCUGACAUCCGUC
RNAcentral lists this long non-coding RNA (315 nucleotides) under Phascolarctos cinereus (koala). RNAcentral's name for it is "lncRNA (ENSPCIG00000034143.1)". Lineage: Eukaryota; Metazoa; Chordata; Mammalia; Diprotodontia; Phascolarctidae. The record is from RNAcentral.